UAAACAGAGGGAAGCGAACCCGCAGGGGGGAGCAAAUCCAGAAAUAACGUCCCAGUUCGGAUUGUAGUCUGCAACCCGGCUACAUGAAGCUGGAAUCGCUAGUAAUCGCGGAUCAGAAUGCCGCGGUGAAUACGUUCCCGGGUCUUGUACACACCGCCCGUCACACCAUGGGAGUCGGAAAUGCCCGAAGUCUGUGACCCAACCUCAGGGAGGGAGCAGCCGAAGGCAGGUCGGAUGACUGGGGUGAAGUCGUAACAAGGUAGC
Molecule: ribosomal RNA, 264 nt
Filed under: uncultured bacterium
Lineage: Bacteria
Description: partial 16S ribosomal RNA
Rfam family: Bacterial small subunit ribosomal RNA
Source: RNAcentral